UUUUAAAGAACUCAGAGGGGGUAGAUCUUGAUUGACAUCUCAUCUGGGGUCACCUGGUCUUCAACUGAGAGAUCUUUUGGUUCGCCACGGAUGCCCCUUGCAGUUAUGGAAGCUUCCCUGACCAGAGGUCGUUUUGAGUUUCCUUCUCUGGAAUUUGACCACUGAGCAGAGACACAUAGGAGAGAAGACGUGAAUGCUGAGUCAUCAAUCAGCAUCACUGGGAAGAAAAAGCCUCUCAGUUUCUUCUGCUGGGACUCCCAGAGCUGGAGUAUUUUCUGCUCUUCCUAAGGCCUG
RNAcentral lists this long non-coding RNA (294 nucleotides) under Homo sapiens (human). RNAcentral describes it as "non-protein coding lnc-STK39-3:1". The record is from RNAcentral. Lineage: Eukaryota; Metazoa; Chordata; Mammalia; Primates; Hominidae.